RNAcentral lists this transfer RNA (85 nucleotides) under Felis catus (domestic cat). It matches the Rfam family "tRNA". Rfam says of the family: Transfer RNA (tRNA) molecules are approximately 80 nucleotides in length. Lineage: Eukaryota; Metazoa; Chordata; Mammalia; Carnivora; Felidae. The record is from Rfam by way of RNAcentral.
GCCUGGAUGGCUCAGUCAGUUAAGCAUCUGACUUUGGCUCAGGUCAUGAUCUCACAGUUCAUGGGUUCAAGCCCCAUGUCGGGCU